This 504-nucleotide ribosomal RNA is filed under the name uncultured bacterium. Its description in RNAcentral is "bacterial SSU rRNA". It matches the Rfam family "Bacterial small subunit ribosomal RNA", at positions 94 to 630 of the family's 1533-position model. The record is from RNAcentral.
AGUGGCGCACGGGUGAGUAACACGUGGACCAUCUACCUUUUAGUGGGGAAUACCUCUGGGAAACCGGAGACAAUACCGCAUAAGCCUGUAAAGGGAAAGCAGCAAUGCGCUGAAAGAGGAGUCCGCGGCCGAUUAGCUAGUUGGCGGGGUAAUGGCCCACCAAGGCGAAGAUCGGUAGCCGGCCUGAGAGGGCACACGGCCACACUGGCACUGAAACACGGGCCAGACUCCUACGGGAGGCAGCAGUGGGGAAUCUUGCACAAUGGGCGAAAGCCUGAUGCAGCGUCGCCGCGUGAGCGAUGAAGCCCUUCGGGGUGUAAAGCUCUUUCGACGGGAACGAUAAUGACGGUACCCGGAGAAGAAGCUGCGGCUAACUACGUGCCAGCAGCCGCGGUAAUACGUAGGCAGCGAGCGUUGUUCGGAAUUACUGGGCGUAAAGAGUGUGUAGGCGGUGCUCCCAGUCUGUUGUGAAAUCUCCCGGCUUAACUGGGAGGGUGCAGCGGA